This 468-nucleotide ribosomal RNA is filed under the name uncultured bacterium. Its description in RNAcentral is "partial 16S ribosomal RNA". It matches the Rfam family "Bacterial small subunit ribosomal RNA", at positions 28 to 507 of the family's 1533-position model. The record is from RNAcentral.
GACGAACGCUGGCGGCGUGCUUAACACAUGCAAGUCGAACGGAAAGGCCCUGCUUUUGUGGGGUGCUCGAGUGGCGAACGGGUGAGUAACACGUGAGUAACCUGCCCUUGACUUUGGGAUAACUUCAGGAAACUGGGGCUAAUACCGGAUAGGAGCUCCCGCUGCAUGGUGGGGGUUGGAAAGUUUCGGCGGUUGGGGAUGGACUCGCGGCUUAUCAGCUUGUUGGUGGGGUAGUGGCUUACCAAGGCUUUGACGGGUAGCCGGCCUGAGCGGGUGACCGGCCACAUUGGGACUGGAAUACGGCCCAGACUCCUACGGGACGCAGCAGUGGGGAAUAUUGCACAGUGGGCGGAAGCCUGAUGCAGCACCGCCGCGUGCGGGAUGACGGCCUUCGGGUUGUAAACCGCUUUCGCCUGUGACGAAGCGUGAGUGACGGUAAUGGGUAAAGAAGCACCGGCUAACUACGUG